This 27-nucleotide non-coding RNA is filed under the name Rattus norvegicus (Norway rat). Lineage: Eukaryota; Metazoa; Chordata; Mammalia; Rodentia; Muridae. The record is from RNAcentral.
UGACUCUAUCACACCAGUAUCAGAGGA